This 484-nucleotide ribosomal RNA is filed under the name uncultured bacterium. RNAcentral's name for it is "partial 16S ribosomal RNA". It matches the Rfam family "Bacterial small subunit ribosomal RNA", at positions 28 to 523 of the family's 1533-position model. The record is from RNAcentral.
GAUGAACGCUGGCGGCGUGCUUAACACAUGCAAGUCGAACGGUGAAGCAGGAGCUUGCUCUUGUGGUUCAGUGGCGAACGGGUGAGUAACACGUGAGCAACCUGCCCCUGACUCUGGGAUAAGCGCUGGAAACGGCGUCUAAUACUGGAUAUGUGAUGUGACCGCAUGGUCUGCAUCUGGAAAGAAUUUCGGUUGGGGAUGGGCUCGCGGCCUAUCAGCUUGUUGGUGAGGUAAUGGCUCACCAAGGCGUCGACGGGUAGCCGGCCUGAGAGGGUGACCGGCCACACUGGGACUGAGACACGGCCCAGACUCCUACGGGAGGCAGCAGUGGGGAAUAUUGCACAAUGGGCGGAAGCCUGAUGCAGCAACGCCGCGUGAGGGAUGACGGCCUUCGGGUUGUAAACUUCUUUUAGCAGGGAAGAAGCGAAAGUGACGGUACCUGCAGAAAAAGCACCGGCUAACUACGUGCCAGCCGCUGCCGUAA